GCCCAGGUGGCGGAAUCGGUAGACGCGCUGGUCUCAAACACCAGUGACCUCAACAGUCGUGCGGGUUCGAGUCCCGCCCUGGGCA
This 85-nucleotide transfer RNA is filed under the name Bacteroidota bacterium. Its description in RNAcentral is "tRNA-Leu". It matches the Rfam family "tRNA". From Rfam's summary of the family: Transfer RNA (tRNA) molecules are approximately 80 nucleotides in length. Their secondary structure includes four short double-helical elements and three loops (D, anti-codon, and T loops). Further hydrogen bonds mediate the characteristic L-shaped molecular structure. tRNAs have two regions of fundamental functional importance: the anti-codon, which is responsible for specific mRNA codon recognition, and the 3' end, to which the tRNAs corresponding amino acid is attached (by aminoacyl-tRNA synthetases). tRNAs cope with the degeneracy of the genetic code in two manners: having more than one tRNA (with a specific anti-codon) for a particular amino acid; and 'wobble' base-pairing, i.e. permitting non-standard base-pairing at the 3rd anti-codon position. RNAcentral also lists the same sequence under 1 other name. The record is from RNAcentral. Lineage: Bacteria; Pseudomonadati; Bacteroidota.